GAAGUGCUCUGACCAGCAGCUCUUGCAUGAGGCACCUACAGGCAGAGGAUUAAUUAGGUUUUCAGUUUCAGUUUCCCAGAAAGGAGGUGGGCUUUUUUUUCACCCUGCUUUAAAAGCCCUUGGGCCCUUCCCAGCUGGGUGCCAGCCAACUGUGGCUGCCUGGGACACUCCAUCUUAAGUCCCUGUGCCUCUGCUGUGUGUUACUGAGUGCCUAGGCCGUGCCAGCCUGUAUUCAUCUGUACUAUGACCUGAAGAGGCAGAGGCCAUCACUGUUGGUCCGGUCUCCACCUGGGGAAACUGAGGUUGCACAGUGUCUCUGUGGUGACGAGCAGGGCUUCAUCCAGUGCCUCUGUCCCCACCGAGGGGACUAUGGGAGACAUGGAGGGUGUGUGAGCAACAGGUGAGACUGGAGCCAGCUGAAAACUGGGAGACCGACCCAGCCAACAAACAAUGUCGGUCUCUGUCUUGGCACCUGCAGGAAACAAGCUCCUACUUCCAGAAAAAGUGCUCCUGGGACUCCAGGAUACCAGGCAUCUGGACGCGGUGGUACAUGCCUGUAAUCCCAACACUUAGGCAGGAGGAUCACUCGAGCCCAGAAGAUCAAGACUAGUGUGAGCAACAAAAUCCUUCCCUGGCACCGGUUCCAGGAGGACCUCGUUCUUAGGCAGCAUCUGUGUCUCUGUUUUGUAAGACACACAGAGUAUCCUUAACCCACUGCAGAUAUUUCCCUGGGUCCAUGGUCAAUCAACACCACCUUUCAGUCUCCAGCCUCUUAACCAGCCCAGGGCUGAGUGUUGUUUAUAGUAUUAAUAUGUUUCUGGCUGGGCUCAGUGGCUCAUGCCUGUAAUCCCGGCACUAUGGGAGGCUGAGGCAGGCGGAUCACUUGAGGUCAGGAGUUCAAGACCAGCCUGGCCAACAUAGUAAAACCCCGUCUCUACUAAAAAUACAAAAAUGAGCCGGGUGUGGUGGCGUGUGUCUAUAAUCCCAGCUACUCGGGAGGCUGAGGCAGGAGAAUUGCUUGAACCUGGGAGGUGGAGGCUACAGUGAGCUGAGAUCAUGCCACUGCACUCCAGCCUGGGCAAGAAAGUGAGACUCCAUCUCAAAACAAAGAAACAAACAAAGUAUUAAUAUGUUCCCCUUGAUCAGUGGGGUGGUUCACCCUUGUAAUCCCAGCACUUUGGGAGGCAGAGGCUGGCGGAUCGCUUGAGUCCAGGAGUUCGAGACCAGCCUGGGUGAACUAGCAAAACCCUGCCUGUACUAAAAAUACAAAAAUUAACUGGGCUUGGUGGUGCGAGCCUGUAAUCCCAGUGGAGGCUGAGACAGGAGAAUCCUUUUGUAAUGCCUGACCUUGUUUUUUUACUAACCCUAUUUUAACCUUGUUUUUACUAACCCUAUUUUUAAAUUUUCCCUUUUUGUCUCCUUAAUUACCUAGCCUUGUUUCCCAUAUGAGUAGACUCUCCCUUAGCUGGGAAAGCCUGACGAACGCCAUCUGGCCCCUUGAUUUACAAGACAUUAAGGGCUACUUACCCAACCCCCUUCCUCAAAGAGUUAACCUGCGUAAGCAGAUCCUCAGCAUUUCAAAGGAGCCCAAUUAGCUGAUAAGGUACUGGAACAAACAAUGUACGAAGUUCCCAGGAUUUUGCUCAAAAGCAUAACAACAUAAAGCCUUGAGUCUGUGUCUGGCAUAGCAUCCAUAUCUAACUCUUAUGAAGGAUUUAGAGCCCGGCACCUGGUUCCGUUGCUUUUUUUGUAACCAUUUGUCUUUUAAAUUGUUUAUUUCUCUGUAACCAUUUGUUUUUUGAUUCUUGCAUGUUUUUACUUCUGUAGAAUUAUUGCAUUUGAGCUCCGCUCCCCUUCCGAACCAAGGUAUAAAAGUAAAUCAAGCCCCUUCCUCGGGGCCGAGAGAAUUUUGGAAAGUCAAGCCUUCUCUUGGCUGCCGGCUUAAAUAAAGGACUCUUAAUUCGUCUCG
Molecule: long non-coding RNA, 1969 nt
Filed under: Homo sapiens (human)
Lineage: Eukaryota; Metazoa; Chordata; Mammalia; Primates; Hominidae
Description: BST2 interferon stimulated positive regulator (BISPR)
Source: RNAcentral